GAUGAACGCUGGCGGCGUGCCUAAUACAUGCAAGUCGAGCGAACAGAUGAGGAGCUUGCUCCUCUGACGUUAGCGGCGGACGGGUGAGUAACACGUGGAUAACCUACCUAUAAGACUGGGAUAACUUCGGGAAACCGGAGCUAAUACCGGAUAAUAUAUUGAACCGCAUGGUUCAAUAGUGAAAGACGGUUUUGCUGUCACUUAUAGAUGGAUCCGCGCCGCAUUAGCUAGUUGGUAAGGUAACGGCUUACCAAGGCAACGAUGCGUAGCCGACCUGAGAGGGUGAUCGGCCACACUGGAACUGAGACACGGUCCAGACUCCUACGGGAGGCAGCAGUAGGGAAUCUUCCGCAAUGGGCGAAAGCCUGACGGAGCAACGCCGCGUGAGUGAUGAAGGUCUUCGGAUCGUAAAACUCUGUUAUUAGGGAAGAACAAAUGUGUAAGUAACUAUGCACGUCUUGACGGUACCUAAUCAGAAAGCCACGGCUACUACGUG
This 496-nucleotide ribosomal RNA is filed under the name uncultured bacterium. RNAcentral describes it as "partial 16S ribosomal RNA". It matches the Rfam family "Bacterial small subunit ribosomal RNA", at positions 28 to 507 of the family's 1533-position model. The record is from RNAcentral.